This 494-nucleotide ribosomal RNA is filed under the name uncultured bacterium. RNAcentral's name for it is "bacterial SSU rRNA". It matches the Rfam family "Bacterial small subunit ribosomal RNA", at positions 28 to 516 of the family's 1533-position model. The record is from RNAcentral.
GACGAACGCUGGCGGCGCGCCUAACACAUGCAAGUCGAACGGAGUUAUUUUUGACAGAAGCCUUCGGGCAGACGUUGAUAUAACUUAGUGGCGAACGGGUGAGUAAACACGUGAGCAACCUGCCCUUCAGAGGGGGACAACAGUUGGAAACGACUGCUAAUACCGCAUAAGACCACGGUGUGGCAUCACACAGAGGUCAAAGGAGAAAUCCGCUGAAGGAUGGGCUCGCGUCCAAUUAGCUAGAUGGUGAGGUAACGGCCCACCAUGGCGACGAUUGGUAGCCGGACUGAGAGGUUGAUCGGCCACAUUGGGACUGAGACACGGCCCAGACUCCUACGGGAGGCAGCAGUGGGGAAUAUUGCACAAUGGAGGAAACUCUGAUGCAGCGACGCCGCGUGAGGGAAGAAGGUCUUCGGAUUGUAAACCUCUGUUGUCAGGGACGAUAAUGACGGUACCUGACGAGGAAAGCCACGGCUAACUACGUGCCAGCAGCC